Molecule: non-coding RNA, 3004 nt
Organism: Microcebus murinus (gray mouse lemur)
Lineage: Eukaryota; Metazoa; Chordata; Mammalia; Primates; Cheirogaleidae
Source: RefSeq, a predicted model, not a curated record
UUGAUCUGGCGCUGUCUGGAGUCCCCCUGGGAGGGCUCUCGGCUGUGUUGUCAGCAACCAGGCUGUGACUGAGCUCUGAGCUGGUGACUGAGCAGUGACUCAGCCAGGAGAGCUGAGGUGAUCCCCCUAGCCAAUCCCAGGAUCUGCUGUGUUCAGCCCAGCUGGGAAGAGAAGGAGCCCCAGGGAUGAGUAAGCUUGCUCAGUGGGCUGGAGGAGGAAGCAGAGGCUGCGUGAUGCCCGGGCAAAGCAACGUUAUCAGCCUCCAUCUGGAGGCUGUUUCGCAGCCUGGGGAACAGGGUGCAGACGCUGCCGCUUCGAGGAUGAAAAGGGUCAUCCUGUGAAACACUCGGCACCGUUGCCAAGUUGGAAGAUUUUUCGAUUCUAAACUCCUGGACAUUGAGGAGUGGCCAUUCCCAGAGGGAUCCGCUCACUGUUCAGCCCAGCCGUGGUUCAGAGGGAGCGCCCAGACAGCUCCUGCACCCCAGCUGUCCACCCGCCAGUGACAUCCGCCUCUGGCUUGCUGAGAACCAGUCUCUGUAGGCUGAACAGUGAAAACUCCACCAUGGCUCUACAACUCCAGAAACUUUUCUCUGCAUAUGAAAGCGAUGAGAAUGAAGUCAACCACCCUCUUCCAACUGAAACCUCCCUCCUUUCAGCUGGCGACAGAUAACUGUAGGACCCUGGGGAUUCUGAGGUUUCCCAGAUCAAUCACCUGCACAAUUACUGGGCUCUGCCUCUGGCCCCAAUGCCUGAGGCAAGGUGGGCAGGAGGAGUGAAUGGCCCUCUUCCCGGGAGCCCUGUAAACCACUGUAGGUAGGAGAACAAUUGACUGAUCCCCCCACACCUAAGUGCCUUGGCAGAAAGGAUCCCAAAGAAAGGACAAUGAAUUCUUAGCCUCUGGGAAAAGAAGAGACCUGAUGAGGUGACUUUGUCAUGGGCCCUCCUUUACUGGGCACCUUGAAAACCAGGUGGGCACCAGGGCCCAUCUGGGGCCACUUUGCCACCUUGGGGGCAGGGAACAGAGUAGCCUGCAAACCCACCUGACAGUGAAUGGGGCCCCUGAGCGCAUUGACUGGGCGAGUUUCCGCAGGUAGAAGCCCUGGGCUCCAUGGGGACAAGAGGAGGAGGAGGGUGGUCCAGGGAGAGCAGACAUCUGGAACCAAAGCACAGAGGCUUGGGACAGUCAUCCCGAGGGCUGUCCAAAGGCCCAGCCCACAAUUCAGGAGGGCCUUACAGAUGAGAGCCGAGGUGUCCGGGAGGGAGAUGGAUAAGCGGAAGAGGCUGACAGGUGGCCACAAGUGGGGAUCGUGGAGGUCACACCACUCCAGUCUCUCCCUGCAGAUGCAUCAAUUCUACAGUGUUGUGGGUUUAUAUUUAUUAAUUGAAUGCUGCUGUGGAAUAAGGAAUUUCAAACCGUUUGCAGACAUAACCUAUUUGAUCCUCAUUACUUCGUUAGGUAAAAGUACUAUUGUCAUUUCUACUUACUAGUGAGAAAACACAUGUCACGCAGGACAGCCAGGAAUAAGUCCUGGGUCUGUCCGUUCCUAACUUCAAGAAUAUUGUCGUCAAGACUAGACAGCUCUCUGUUAGGAGGCCAGAGGGUCAUUAGAUAGAAAGCAGCAGUCCAUAAACUUGAACAUGGAAAAUUUGCAUUUUACCAACAUCUAACUAAAAUUCUGUAGAAUGUCUUUCAAUUAUGAAUGUAGGCAAUGGCAAUAGUAUUAACAGUACCUGUGAUUACCAACAAAAAGAACAGAAAUUACAGAUCUUUUCAUGCCAUAUCAAAGUUGUUGCAGACAUUGCAAAAUAUCACAUACACUCAUCACUAUUUAAAAACAGCGGCUGCUAUUAAACUUGCUGAUAAGGGACAGAGCAACUGAGGAAGUCAGACAUCUGAGAAUGAAGGACAGGUGGCUGCCUACCACUGAGCCUUAAUCAGAACAACAGAGCAUCUCUGCACAUCAUCACCACACAGUGACAAGCCAACCAGAACAAGAACAAGAACAUCAGAACAGACAAAGGAAAGACACGAGCAGAAAGACACUCUCUAAGGCGGAAGGCAGAGGGCAGGUCUGCUGCUGAGAGUCAAGCAGAUAUUUCUCCAACAGACAAACCCCUGUCCUAAAGCGCAAGGUAUUUCCACAAGAAUCUGAAGGCUAAGGUGCACUGAGGGCAGCCAUAGCAACAAUGAACCUCAAACCCAGCCCAGCUGCUACCUAGAUUAACUCAACCACCCAUCUCUGCCGCAAGACCCACCAGAAGAAAAAGCAGGUCUAUUUCCAGAGGGGGAAAAAUGGUCUAAAUUUCUACAGUUCUACACAAGAUGUCCAGCUUUAAAGAAAAAAAUUAUGAAGCAAAUGAAAAGGCAGGAAGGGCACACUUCCAAGAAACAGUAAUAGUAAGAACUAAACUCAGGUGAUUCGUGAAAAUGGUUCGCUGUUCACUUGACCCAGAAAACCCUACAAAAUCAUGCAAGUCAAGAGGUUCAAAUCUUCGUGUUCACUUCAAGAACACUCGUGACACUGCCCAGGCCAUCAAGGGUAUGCAUAUACGAAAAGCCACCAAGUAUCUGAAAGAUGUCACUUUAAAGAAACAAUGUGUACCAUUCCGAUGUUACAAUGGUGGAGUUGGUAGGUGUGCCCAGGCCAAACAGUGGGGCUGGACACAGGGUCGGUGGCCCAAGAAGACUGCUGAAUUUUUGCUGCACAUGCUUAAAAAUGCGGAGAGUAAUGCUGAACUUAAGGGUAUGGAUAUAGAUUCUCUGGUCAUUGAGCAUAUCCAGGUGAACAAAGCACCCAAGAUGCGUCGCCGAACUUACAGAGCUCAUGGUCGGAUUAAUCCAUACCAUGAGCUCCCCCCCUGCCACAUCGAGAAUGAUCCUCACUGAAAGGAACAAAUUGUUCCAAAACCAGAAGAGGAGGUUGCACAGAAGAAAAAGAUAUCCCAGAAGAAACUCAAGAAACAAAAAUUUAUGGCACGGGAAUAGAUGUAACAUAAAAUAAAU